UCUAGCCCUAGAAGCAUUGCAGAUGUGGUUGCUGUGUCACAAGUGCAUCAAUAGGAGGUAGAGAGGACAGAGGCUAUAUCUAUGCUUGGUGUUCUGACUAUGAAGAUCUGAGUCAUUAGUAGCUUAGCAUU
This 131-nucleotide small nucleolar RNA is filed under the name Mus pahari (shrew mouse). Its description in RNAcentral is "predicted gene, 23909 (MGP_PahariEiJ_G0034836.1)". It matches the Rfam family "Small nucleolar RNA SNORA17". Rfam says of the family: snoRNA ACA 17 belongs to the H/ACA family of snoRNAs and is predicted to guide pseudouridylation of the 28S rRNA at positions U4659 and U4598. It shares the same host gene together with ACA43. Lineage: Eukaryota; Metazoa; Chordata; Mammalia; Rodentia; Muridae. The record is from RNAcentral.